Molecule: long non-coding RNA, 254 nt
Filed under: Elaeis guineensis (African oil palm)
Lineage: Eukaryota; Viridiplantae; Streptophyta; Magnoliopsida; Arecales; Arecaceae
Description: long non-coding RNA (EGUI_LNC021833)
Source: RNAcentral
GUAUCAACCCUUUGUAAUAUCGAUCUGAGCGGUUGGUCUGUCAAUACUGCAAUAGUAUGAACUUGAAAGUAAGGUCUGAAUAUCCAGACUGUCACGAUCAAAGCAUAUAUCAAUUUUUAAUCUUUUUAUGUCAGAUCUCUACGUUCCGUAAUAGUUUUCUUGUGUAGUGAUAGGCCUUUGAAUGUCCAUUUUUUUUUCCGAAUAAGAAUCGAGCUAACUGCAUAAGGUGAGAUAAAAAUAUGCAUGUAUAGUUC